RNAcentral lists this ribosomal RNA (494 nucleotides) under uncultured bacterium. RNAcentral describes it as "partial 16S ribosomal RNA". It matches the Rfam family "Bacterial small subunit ribosomal RNA", at positions 28 to 507 of the family's 1533-position model. The record is from RNAcentral.
GACGAACGCUGGCGGCGCGCUUAACACAUGCAAGUCGAACGGAAAGGCCUGCUUUCCCUUGUGGAUUGCGGGUACUCGAGUGGCGAACGGGUGAGUAACACGUGAGUGAUCUGCCCCCAACUUGGGUAUAAGCCUGGGAAACUGGGUCUAAUUCCCGAUAGGACUGCAGGGUGGUGCCUGUGGUGGAAAACGAUUUUCUAGUGGUUGGGGAUGAGCUCGCGGCCUAUCAGCUUGUUGGUGGGGUAAUGGCCUACCAAGGCGGCGACGGGUAGCCGGCCUGGGAGGGUGGACGGAGACAUUGGGACUGAGAUACGGCCCAGAAUCCUACGGGAGGCAGCAGUGGGGAAUACUGAACAAUGGGCGGAAGCCUGAUGCAGCGACGCCGCGUGGGGGAUGACGGCCUUCGGGUUGUAAGCUCCUUUCGACCGCGAGGACGCCACCUGGUUGGAAGGGUGGUGACGGUAGUGGUAGAAGAAGCACCGGCUAACUACGUG